This 6585-nucleotide long non-coding RNA is filed under the name Marmota monax (woodchuck). The record is from RNAcentral. Lineage: Eukaryota; Metazoa; Chordata; Mammalia; Rodentia; Sciuridae.
UGAUUUUAAUUAUUUCCUGUCUUCUAUGGUUAUGGUGUUGAUUUGCUCUAAUUUUUCUAGGGCUUUGAGAUGCAAUGUUAGGUUAUUUAUUUGGUGACCUUCUAGUCUUUUAAUGAAUGGGCUAAAUGCAAUGAACUUUCCUCUGAGAACUGCCUUCAUAGUGUCCCAGAGAUUUUGGUAGGUUGUAUCACUAGUCUCGUUUACCUCUAAGUAGUUUUUUUUUUUAAUUUCAUGCCUGAAUUCUUCUGCUAUUCAUUGUUCAUUCCAUAGUGUAUUAUUUAGUCUAUAGAAUGAUUUCCAUUUUAUAUCUUAUCAUUAAUUUCUCUAAUUGCAUUCCAUUAUAAUCUGAAGAAAUGCAAGAUAGCAUCUCUCUCUCUCUCUCUGUCUGUCUCUCCCUAUUUCUCUUGCCAUUUUGCAGUUGCUAAAAGUUGCUUUGUGGCCUCAGAUAUGGUCUAUUUUAGUGAAGGAUCAAUUUUGCUGUUGGGAAGAAAGUGUAUUCAGUCAUUUAGAGGUGAAAUAUUCUAUAUUAUAUACCUGUCUAAAUUAUUAAUUGUACUUUUUAUUUCUAUAGUUUCUUUAUUUCAUUUUUGCUUGGGGAAUAUAUCCAUUGGUGACAGAGGUGUGUUACAGUCACCCAGUAUUAUUGUGUUGUGGUCUAUUUGAUUCUUGAAAUUGAGAAGGGUUUGUUUGAAGUACAUAGAUGCUCCAUUGUUUGGGGCAUAAAUAUUUAUGUUGUUAUGUCUUGUUGAUGUAUUAUUCCCUUAAGCAGUACGAAAUGUCCUUCUUUGUCUCUUCUGAUUGACUUUGGCUUGAAGACCACUUCAUCUGAUAUGAGGCUAGAAACCCCUGCUUGUCUACAAGAUCCAUGUGAACAAUUUUUUUUUUAUCCUUUCACCUUCAGUCCUGGAUGUCUUUGCCUAUAUGGUGAGUCUCUUUGAGACAGCAUAUUGUUGGAUCUUAUUUUUAAAUAAAAUCUGCCAGACUAUGUGUUUUGAUUGAAGAAUUUAGACUAUUUACAUUCAAUGUUACUAUUGAGAAAUAAUUUUCAUACCCUUUCAUUUUGAUUUAUUUCUGAAUUUUCUUUGAAUUAGUUCUUUCUUUGAUUGACUAUUCUCUAGUAUAAUUUCUCCCUUUGCUAGUUUAAUGUUUAUUUUUUAUUUCUGCUUCAUGAAAUAUUUUAUUGAGUAUGUUUUUUAUUGCCUGCUUUCUAGUUGUGAAUUCUUUUAACUUUUGUUUAUCAUGGAAGGUUUUCAUUUAACCAUCAAUUCUGAAGCUGAAUUUUGCUGGGUAUAGUAUUCUUGGCUGGCAUCCAUUUUCUUUCAGAGCUUGGUAUAUACUAUUCCAACACCUCCUAGCUUUGAGUGUCUGGGUUAUAAAAUUAGCUGAGAUCUGGAUUGAUUUCCCUAUAAAUGUGACCUAUCCUUUUUUUCUGACAGGCUCUAAAUUGCUAUCCUUGUUCUGUAUGCUGAAAAAGCAAGGGAAAAAAUUGCCCCAUAAAAACCAAGAUACUUCAAUAACCAAAUCCCUCAACACCAAAGUGGAAGAGAUGUCAGAGAAGGAAUUUUAAAUGUGCAUAAACUGAUCUUGAGGUAUAAGAAAAAGUAAGGACUGAAUCAAAAAGAAAAUACAGGAAGUGAAAGAUAAUUUCAAUAGUGAUCUUCCAUUUGAAUUACAGUUUGAGGCAAUGAAGACUAAAUAUAUAAUCUUGAAAAUAACCUUGACCAUGGAAAAAAAGAUACUAAGAAACUAUGAACAGAAAUCCCAAGAAACAUGGGGGAAAAAUAGAGAAAGACCAAAUAUAAAAUUUAUUAGGAUAGAUGAAGGCUUGGAGAUACAAACCAAAGGAAUGCACAAUCUUUUCAAUGAAAUGAUAUCAGAAAAUUUCCUGAACCUUAAGAAUGGAAUGGGAAAUCAAAUAUAGGGUCUUACAAGACACCAAAUACACAAAAUUACAACAGACCCACACCAGUGCACAUUGUUAUUUAUUCUAUUGUUUUAUUGUGAGGUUCAAUUCAAGAUUAUAAAUAAUAAUUUAAUAGUGAAAAUGAAAAAUCACCCAAAUACUCAAUAAUAAGGAAAUAGCUAAGUGUUUUAUAGUACAUUUAUAUGAUGAAAUAUCACAUGGGCACAAUAUUUUCAAAGAAUAUCAAUGACAUGAGAAAUCAGUCUUUAGUAUAAGUGCCAAAAACAGGAUACAAAAUCAUAUCUGCUAUUAACUAAAUGCAAAGUACACACAAACACAUACACAACACACAGGCAAGCACAUAAAACCAUACAAGAAAAAGAGUGGGAAAGAAACUUAUGGACACGUUUACAAGAGUUACCUCUGGGUAUGGUUACUUUUCUUCUUUUUACUUUUCUCUAGUUUCUAAUAUAUUUAUAAUAAAAAGGAUGAAGUACUGACAUGCUACAACCAGGAUAAUCCUUAAAAGCAUUGUGAUAAGUGAAAGUUAAAAAAUGAUCAAAUAUUGCAUGCAGGAUUAUACAUUAUGUACUGACAUGCAGAAAGCAGACUACUGGUUGCCCAGGAUUACGGGUGAAGGUGAAGAAUGGGUAAUUACUGGCAAUGGGUGUGGGGAGUCUUUGUGGGGUGAGAAAUACUCUAAAAUUACAUUGUGAUGACAGUUUUACAGCUCUGUGGCUAUGUAAAAACCUUUUACACUUUAAAUGUGUGAAUCAUAGUGUAUAUAAAUUAUGUCAGGAAAGCUGUCUAAAGAAAAAAGUAAGUAAUAUAAUCUUUAUGCAGAAUGUUUUUAAUGCUUUUUUUAAGGAGGAGGAAAGAAAAAAAAAGUUGAGGAUGAAGAAGAGAGCCAGGUGAAUAAUUUAACUCAAACCUAUGCUAUACCAAGUCUCCAAACACAAUUCCAGUUCUGACUAAGUCCUAGGGGUAGAUGGCUCUGGCUUCCUGUCUCAAGCCACAACUCAAUUGCAAUAUGAGGAACUCUUUGAAUAUGUUCUCAAUUUUAGAAUGGUAGUUCUUCAAGGGCAAAGGCUCUGUCUUGUUCACCCUUAAUUCCCUCUAGAUUUUAGCACAUGUUCUGCUACAAAUCAGUCACUUUCAAUGGUUUUGUUUGUUUAUAGUUUUUCAUUUUGUGCUUAAAACAAGAGGAAUUUAUUUUCACAGUUCUUGAAGCUAAAAGUCCAAAAUUCAGGUGCUGGCAGAGCCAUAAUUCUCUGGAGGCUCAAGGGAAGAGCCUCCUUCUUAUGCUUCCUGAGGUUUCCAGCCAACCUUUGUGUUCUGUAGAUUGUAGACACAUCACUCUAAUUGCACCUUCAUCAUUAAUCACACGAUGGCCUCCUGUGUUUCUCUAAGAAAGUGUGAGGUCCCUGAGUCGUCCACAAUCCUAAGCUUCUUUCUUCUCUAGAGAACUUGGUGUUCUUGGAGAAGGGACAUUCAAUAGUAUGGACCCAGAAAUUCUUCUCCCAGGAGUUUUGAUUCCUUCUGGCUAGGAUUUUCUUGGACUAGGGUGGAAUCCUAGGAUCCACUCUUAAUGCAGAUACAGGAAGAGAGCAGAGUUGGGCUAACUUGAAUAAGAAAUCAGGGAGUUCCUGUUCUACCCCAUUUCCACACUUUUUUUUCAGUAAGCUUUUCUCUCACUAUUGCCCAAUAGAUAGGUUUUUAAUGACUGAAUAGGGGUUAAAAACAUAUUCCCACUGGAAAAAAAAUAUGAUCCUGUGGGCUGAAAAAAAUCAUAAUUAUGAGAAAAUGUAGUACAACGAUAAGAUAAGGGAACAUAUCUUGAGGACUUUCAAGGACUAAAGGCUAGAAAAAAAAAUCAUCCUAAAAUCUUGGGUGCAUUUGGUCAUCAAAGAACAUUUUUCUCAACACUUGAACUGAAUCCUAAGGCCAUGGUCUAUCAGUUAUGACACAAGUUUGAAGUAAACAGAAGAGUGCUUUGUUAGUGUAAAAGGUUUGCACAUGGCUUCAUGUACAAAUGUGUAACAACAAAUUCUACUAUAAUGUGUAAUUAGAGUGCACCAAUAAAAUAAACAAAUAAAUAAACAUAAAAGCAUAACAAAAGAAAAAAUAAGUGAACGAAAUAUAAAUAUGAGGCUUCUGCCACAGAGACAUGAUUAAUCAAUCAGUUCAACCAAUCAGUUGCAUCAGUGAUAAAUAGUGGAUAGUUCUGUAUUUUCCAUACUCUGACUCUGGAUAAAGCUCUUGGUCCUCCUCUAAUUGAGUUCCCUAGAAUUACAACAGUUCUCAUCACCUUCUGCCCACAUAUCAACUUAGUAAAAAACAUGCAGCAAAGAGUUUUAGUUUUAGUUUUAUUAAAAGGGAAGAAGUUGAGUCUGCUUUACGUUUUCCCUCUAAGACAUUUAGACCUUGUCCAUUGAUGUGCUUUGAAUGUAUCUCCCAAAUAAACACAUGCUAGAAACUUAAUCCUCACUGCAAAAGUGUUGCCAAUGAAGGGAUUAAGGCUCUGCCUUUAUGAAUUAAUGCCAUUAUUUCAGGAGUGGUUUUAUUAUCAAGGGAGUAGUUUCCUUUUAGAAAAAACAAGUUGGUCUACUUUUGCUCUCUCUCCUUCACUCUUUGCCCUCUUGUCAUAGGAUGAUGCAGCAAAAAGAACUUCGUCAAAUGUACCCCUCAAUCCUGGACUUCAGUCUAUAGAACUGUUAGCCACUAAAUUUUCGUUUAUUAUACAUUGUCCAAUCUUUAAUAUUUUUGUUAUAGCAGUACCAAACAGGCUAAGAACUCAUAAAGGCAUGAAUGUGGUCAUCUGGCAUUCAUUCAUCAUUUAUUUAUUAAUAUGUCCAACAAAUAUCCAUUAUACCUCUAUGUGACAAUCACCUGGGGAGAUAUAAAGAUAAAUAAGACAUGAAUCAUGGCCCAAGAAAGGUUAAUAUGUUUUCCAACUAAGUCCAUAUGUUUUAAGUGACAUUAUAAGUCAUGAAGUAUAUCAGUAGCUGGAAAGUUAGUUUUCAACUUUGAAAGUUAAUGUUUAAUUUUGUUGAAAGUUAGUGUUUAAUUGUCAACAUUAUCCCAAAAGAUAUUCCCCGGAAGACCUCUGACACCUUGAAUACAUUUUUCUACUGGAUUCUUUGGAAUUGCCAGAGCUCCAAACUAAAUACCUUCAUAUUUUAGGUCAGACCUAAAGGGAUGAAGUGACAUAUCUAAAACUACAUCGUGAGCUAGUAAUUAAUCAGUACUUGAAUCCAGAUCUCUCCUGACAUAGUGCCCUAUGAGUUCACUCCAUAUAUCCCAGAGAAAUGCAUGGAUGAAUUUUACAGUGACCUUGUGUAAUGCUAGGCUUAGCUUGUGCUCAGUCACCAGAUCAGCAUUCCACCACUGCCUGAGAUUCCACUUGUAUUAGUAUUCUGUUGUUGUGUAACAAAUUGUCCCAAACCUAGCAGCUUAAACUGCAGUAAUUAUUAUCUUACAAUUUUUGAGCAUGAAGAACUCAGAUAUGGCUUAUCUGUGUCCUUUGCUUCAGGGUUUCUCAUGUCAACCAAGGUGACACCCAGGAUUGAGAUCUCAUCUGAAUACUCAAUUAGGGCAUAGUCUACUUCCAAGCUCACUUACAUCGCUGUUGGAAGAUUCAGUUCCUUGGAUGCUACUGACAAUGGUUCUGAGCUGUUCAGUGACAAUUGCCUGGAGGCUGCCCUCAGUUCCUUGCUGUAUUUUCACCUCCAACAUGGCAAUUUGCUUCAUCAAACUCAAUGCAAACAAGGAAAUCUGCUAGCAGCAUGGUAACCAUGAUUAUUUCUAUUUACAAGAGUAACAUUCCUUUGUCAUAUUAGUUAGGAUAAAAUCACUAGAUUCCACCCAACUCAAGAGAAGAUUACACAAUGACAUGAAUGCCAGGAGGCCUCUGUAGAAACUGGCUAUCACACCACAUUGUUAGCCGCUGGAUUACACACUUGAAGAGCAUCCAUGUGACCUUUUCCCAAGAGAACUGGCAGGCAGAAUAAUAGAUGGUAGAUGGGAAGAGAUCCAUAGGUAUAUGUUUUUCCCUUUCCUUCCUCCCACAGACAGCUGUGCUAGAAAAGACAGCCAAGUUGCACUCAGAAACAACUUGGACGUAAGCCUCCCUUUAUAGUAAAUGUUAUAGAACAUUCUCUUUUUUUAUUUAUGACAACUGGAUCUUCAAAAAACACUCCAAAUACCCGGAAAUCUACUCAUAUCCAUCCUUUAGAUGGGAAUAAAAUUGCUUUUUCUUGACAAAUUGCUUUGGCCUGGACAGUAAUUCUGACUUUUCAUUAGUAUGUAGUCUUAUUUUGUUUUCACUGUUCUCUUCUAUUUCCUCUUAUUUAUUAGUCCAUAUGGUUUUCCAAAGCACCAAGAUAUUCUAGAGUCCUUUAUUGCUUAUUUAUCUUCCUAGCCACUUAUUCAAUCAUCCAAUAAAAUUUAUUCAGUUCCUAUUAUGUGUUAGAUCCAAGGCUAGUUCUUAGGUGAUGUAAAUAUGUAUGAUCCAUAAACACUUUGUUUAGUCAAACAUUCAAAAAAUUUUUUUUUGAAAGGCAUACCAGUUUAUUUGGGGUAAAAUUGGGAGUUCAUAACCAACUUGAAUCUAAUGUAUGAAAUAUGAUAUGUCAAGAGCUUUAUAAUGUUUUGAACAACCAAUAAAAAAAAUUAAAAAAAAA